This 75-nucleotide transfer RNA is filed under the name Erysipelothrix sp. Its description in RNAcentral is "tRNA-Gln". It matches the Rfam family "tRNA". Rfam says of the family: Transfer RNA (tRNA) molecules are approximately 80 nucleotides in length. Their secondary structure includes four short double-helical elements and three loops (D, anti-codon, and T loops). Lineage: Bacteria; Bacillati; Bacillota; Erysipelotrichia; Erysipelotrichales; Erysipelotrichaceae. The record is from RNAcentral. RNAcentral also lists the same sequence under 2 other names.
UGGGGCAUAGCCAAGCGGUAAGGCAUCAGACUUUGACUCUGACAUUCCCUGGUUCGAUCCCAGGUGCCCCAGCCA